UAGAGGAAGUAAAAGUCGUAACAAGGUUUCCGUAGGUGAACCUGCGGAAGGAUCAUUAUUGAAAAAGACUUUAUGAAGCCCCGUUUUUUCGUAAAAUGGGUUCAAUACCCACAACCGUGUAUACCUUACCUUUGUUGCUUUGGCAGGCCGCCUUCGGGCGUUGGCUCCGGCUGACUGCGCCUGCCAGAGGACCCAAACUCUGUGUUUAGUGAUGUCUGAGUAAUAUAUAAUAUUUAAAACUUUCAACAACGGAUCUCUUGGUUCUGGCAUCGAUGAAGAACGCAGCGAAAUGCGAUAAGUAAUGUGAAUUGCAGAAUUCAGUGAAUCAUCGAAUCUUUGAACGCACAUUGCGCCCCUUGGUAUUCCGAGGGGCAUGCCUGUUCGAGCGUCAUUAUAAACCACUCAAGCCUAGCUUGGUAUUGGGGUUCGCGUGUUCGCGGCCCUUAAAAUCAGUGGCAGGUGCCGUCUGGCUCUAAGCGUAGUAAAUCUCUCGCUAUGGAGUUCCGGUGGUUACUUGCCAAAAUCGCC
This 528-nucleotide ribosomal RNA is filed under the name uncultured fungus. RNAcentral describes it as "eukaryotic LSU rRNA". The stretch from base 238 to 391 matches the Rfam family "5.8S ribosomal RNA". The record is from RNAcentral. Lineage: Eukaryota; Fungi.